AAUCACUUUCGACCAUCAUCUCUAGCCAUGAUCAAUCAUUAGCUAUGAUUGGCAACAACUCCAUGAGACUACCAACCAUAUUAGACCAUAACUUGCCACUGCCACUAAUUAUCUUUACAUCAACGCCUUUCGUCGGUCAUCAUUUUCACUUGUUUUCAAAAUCAUUUUUUUUUAAAUAAGUACUAAACUUGUUUUUUUUUUGUUUUUUUUUAUUUUUGUCAAAAAUAAACAUAAAUUUAUUUAAUAUUGUAGAUAACAAAUAAAUAAAUAAAAUGUGAACCUGAUGCUAAUAUCCCCUAUUUCCCUUCCAAUGUUCCAAUUUCCAAAAACAAAUUGGCAGGAGAAAAAAAAAAAAAAAAGUUUAGAGAGUGAAAAAAAGAAAAACUGUUAAAAUUGUAAAGAUUUUAUGGGACUGCAUGAGAAAGCCAGCUUCAAGGUCUGUGCUGCUCUUCAAUUUCACCAAAAACCUCUCUUCUUCCAAACUACUUCUCUUCUCGGUCUCUAAUCACCACUAUCAUUCUCAUCACGCAGUCCCUAAUCAGCCCUUAAAUGGAGAAAAAAAACUCAACCACCAAUGGCUUCUUCAGUUGCUUCAAGAACGCUCAAGAAUCCUAUCAAUCAAUGCAACCAAGUCUCUCCACGCACUCGCCAUUACAAUGGGUUCGAAUUUUCCACAACCCAUCUUUCUUAACAACACCACCAUUUCGUACUAUGUGUCGGUGGGUGAGUUAUUGCUUGCUCGUAAGGUGUUCGACGAAAUGCCUCAAAGAAACAUAGUAUCAUACAAUACGAUGAUUGGUGCUUAUGGUCGUUGUAAGAAUGCAGAGGAAGCUUGGAAGUUGUUUUCUGAGAUGAGAAGUCGAGGUUUUGAGCCUACCCAGUUCACAUUCGGAGGACUUUUGUCGUGCCCGUCUUUGGAUCUUUUUAGAGGAUUUUAUUUGCAGGGAUUGAUUAUAAAGAGUGGAUUGCUUUACACGGAUGCUUUUGCAGGAACUGCAUUGUUGGGUUUGUUUGGGAGGCAUGGAUGCUUAGAUGAAACCCUUAAAGCUUUUGAAGACAUGCCUCAAAAGAAUUUGGUUACGUGGAAUUCGAUGAUAUCAUUGUUUGGCCGUAAUGGCUUUGUUGAAGAGUCAAUUAUCAUGCUCCGUGAGCUCAUGAAGAUAGAGUGGCGUUUGUCUGAAUAUUCAUUUGUGGGUGUUUUAUCUGGAUUUGUGUCAGACGAAGACUUGGAAUUAGGAGAACAAGUUCAUGGUUUAUUGAUUAAAAAUGGGUUAGGUUGCAAAGUUUUGGUUGCAAAUGCUAUGAUCAAUAUGUAUGUGAAGUUCUCUGAUUCAUACACAGCAGAGAAAUUGUUUAGGGAGGUUCCUGUCCGGGAUAUUGUGUCAUGGAAUACAAUCAUUGGAGCAUUGGCAAAAAGUGAUCAUCCGGGCAAAGCAUUAGAGCUCUUCUUGAAAAUGUAUGUGGAUGGAGUCUGGCCUAACCAGACAACAUUUGUUAGUGUUAUUAAUUCUUGUACGAGCUCGCAGAUUUUGAUGUAUGGAAAAUUCAUCCAUGCUAAAAUAAUCAAAUACAUGUUUGGAUCUGAUGUAUUUGUUGGUAGUGCAUUGGUUGAUUUUUAUGCAAAACAUGAUGAGUUGAAAGACACACGUCGUUGUUUUGAUGAUAUAGAUGAGAAGAAUGUCGUUUCUUGGAAUGCUUUAAUUUUUGGUUACUCAAAGAAGCACUGCUUAUCCUCUUUUUCAAUGCUUCGUGAAAUGAUUCGAAUGGAUUAUAGGCCAAAUGAGUAUUCGUUUUCAACUGUACUUCAAUCGUCCUUCACCCUGGAGUUGCAGCAGCUUCAUUCGUUGAUAAUAAAAAUGGGUUUUCACCAGAAUGAGUAUGUCUUGUGCUCUCUCAUUACCUCAUACACCAAAAAUGGUUUGAUAUCUGAUGCCCUAAUCUUAGUUCCUGCUACUAACACACCACUUCCGGUUGUCCCUUCGAAUGUUAUUGCCGGAGUUUAUAAUAGGAUACGCCAGUAUCAUAAAGCACAAGAGAUAUUUUCUCUUCUUGAGGAACCUGACCUUGUUUCUUGGAACAUCUUGAUUGCAGCUUGUUCCCGCAAUGGUGAUUACAAGGAGGUUUUCGAACUAUUCGGACACAUGCAACUGGCUUGCAUCCACCCUGACAAUUACACGUAUGUUAGCCUCCUAAGUGCUUGCACUAAACUUUGCAACCUUGCUUUGGGUAGUUCACUUCAUGGCCUUAUCAUGAAGACUGAUUUUGAUUUCAAACUUUGCGACAUGUUUGUUUACAAUGUAAUGAUAGACAUGUAUGGUAAAUGUGGGAACCUCGAGAGUUCGUUGAAAACAUUCAACGAAAUGACAGAUAAGAAUCUUAUCUCAUGGACUGCUCUAAUUUCUGCACUUGGACUUCAUGGUCGUGCAGAUGAGGCAUUACAAAGGUUCAGACAAAUGGAGGCAGUUGGGUUUAAGCCAGAUAGAGUUGCUUUCGUUGCCAUGCUUUCAGCGUGCAGACAUGGUGGGUUGGUGGAUGAAGGAAAGGAACUUUUUGGGAAAAUGAAAACAAAUUAUGGGAUUGAACCAGACAUGGAUCACUAUGUUCUUAUGGUGGACUUGUUGAGUAGAUAUGGACAUCUCAAGGAAGCAGAGCAAUUAAUUGUUGGCAUGCCUUUCUUGCCGAAUGCUCUGAUAUGGCGUAGUUUUCUUGAAGGCUGCAACAGACAGCGUAGUGCAGAAUAUCUUGCUGUGGAAGAUAGGAACUUGAAAUCCAGUGGAUGAGCUCAUAUAUUGUUGUCCUAGGAGAUAAUAUAUUAUAAUAGCGAAGCAGGCAGAUGCUCUGGAAACAUUGCAGAAAUUGCACCUCUUCAUGCCUUCACCGGUGGGGCUUGGACUAUGUUGUUGAACAUUUUUAGCCAAUACCGGGACAUCUCUUCUCUCCGGAGGUGCAAUCAACCGCAGUGCCAACGAAAUUUUCUGAUCCAGUGAAAUAGUAGAAUCUGUGAGAGAAGAAUCAUUUGAGUUUUGUGACAAAGAUAAAGAUAGCGAAGAAAGGGAUAGAGUCGAAAUGCUCUUGUGGAGGCUAAUCGGGAAAAUCCUCACAUCUUCCCGUAGGUCUAAGGCAGCGCCCAUGACGAGUGUCCGUUCCGGAUGCGAGACUCUAACUUGGGAGCUUGCACCGACCCCUCAACAUAAGUUCCAUUUAAGUCAAGACUCGCGCAGCGGAGGGGAGUCGAACCCACGCCAAUUUAAUGCAAAGCAGCACUUUGAGGCUCUCCCCCCAAGCCAACUGCGCUACCGCCCAGGGGUUAAUGGAGUCUAUUUAGCCAUAUCAUUUUCGAAAAGUGGCUUGAAGAAAAAUUGUUACUGGUUUAUGCAGAUUUUAAAAUCCUCGCUAUGUAUUCUUCUCCUGUAGUCUUAAUUUU
Camellia sinensis is the source of this 3424-nucleotide non-coding RNA. Lineage: Eukaryota; Viridiplantae; Streptophyta; Magnoliopsida; Ericales; Theaceae. The record is from RefSeq and is a predicted model, not a curated record.